AGGGCACCACCAGGAGUGGAGCCUGCGGCUUAAUUUGACUCAACACGGGAAAACUUACCCGGCCCGGACACUGGAAGGAUUGACAGAUUGAGAGCUCUUUCUUGAUUCAGUGGGUGGUGGUGCAUGGCCGUUCUUAGUUGGUGGAGCGAUUUGUCUGGUUAAUUCCGAUAACGAACGAGACUCUAGCCUACUAAAUAGACCAGAGGCUUCUUAAAACACGUCUCUGGCUGCUUCUUAGAGGGACAGGCGGCGAUUCAGCCGCACGAAACAGAGCAAUAACAGGUCUGUGAUGCCCUUAGAUGUCCGGGGCCGCACGCGCGCUACACUGAAGUGAUCAGCGUGCUUUUUGUACCCUGCCCUGCCAAGAGUGGGUAACCCAAUGAACCUUCUUCGUGAUUGGGAUAGGGGAUUGUAAUUAUUCCCCUUGAACGAGGAAUUCCCAGUAAGCGCGAGUCAUAAGCUCGCGUUGAUUACGUCCCUGCCCUUUGUACACACCGCCCGUCGCUACUACCGAUUGAA
RNAcentral lists this ribosomal RNA (519 nucleotides) under uncultured eukaryote. RNAcentral's name for it is "SSU rRNA". It matches the Rfam family "Eukaryotic small subunit ribosomal RNA", at positions 1161 to 1693 of the family's 1831-position model. The record is from RNAcentral.